CCUACGGGUGGCAGCAGUGAGGAAUAUUGGUCAAUGGACGAGAGUCUGAACCAGCCAAGUAGCGUGAAGGAUGACUGCCCUAUGGGUUGUAAACUUCUUUUAUAUGGGAAUAAAAUGUUCCACGUGUGGGAUUUUGUAUGUACCAUAUGAAUAAGGAUCGGCUAACUCCGUGCCAGCAGCCGCGGUAAUACGGAGGAUCUGAGCGUUAUCCGGAUUUAUUGGGUUUAAAGGGAGCGUAGGUGGAUUGUUAAGUCAGUUGUGAAAGUUUGCGGCUCAACCGUAAAAUUGCAGUUGAAACUGGCAGUCGUGAGUACAGUAGAGGUGGGCGGAAUUCGUGGUGUAGCGGUGAAAUGCUUAGAUAUCACGAAGAACUCCGAUGGCGAAGGCAGCUCACUGGACUGCAACUGACACUGAGGCUCGAAAGUGUGGGUAUCAAACAGGAUUAGAUACCCCUGUAGUC
This 460-nucleotide ribosomal RNA is filed under the name uncultured bacterium. Its description in RNAcentral is "partial 16S ribosomal RNA". It matches the Rfam family "Bacterial small subunit ribosomal RNA", at positions 338 to 795 of the family's 1533-position model. The record is from RNAcentral.